This 338-nucleotide long non-coding RNA is filed under the name Mytilus galloprovincialis (Mediterranean mussel). The record is from RNAcentral. Lineage: Eukaryota; Metazoa; Mollusca; Bivalvia; Mytilida; Mytilidae.
AAACACUUCUCAAGGUACAGACAUUUAAGUAAAACACUUUUCAAGGUACAGACAUUUAAGUAAAACACUUUUCAAGGUACAGACAUUUAAGUAAAACACUUCUCAAGGUACAGACAUUUAAGUAAAACACUUCUCAAGGUACAUACAUUUUGAGUAAAUCACUUCUCAAGGUCCAUACAUUUUGAGUAAAACACUUCUCAAGGUCCAGACAUUUUGAGUAAAACACUUCUCAAGGUCCAGACAUUUUGAGUAAAACACUUCUCAAGGUCCAGACAUUUUUACUCAAAGUCCAGACAUUUUGAGUAAAACACUUCUCAAGGUCCAGAUAUUUUGAGUAA